This 253-nucleotide ribosomal RNA is filed under the name uncultured bacterium. RNAcentral's name for it is "partial 16S ribosomal RNA". It matches the Rfam family "Bacterial small subunit ribosomal RNA", at positions 524 to 776 of the family's 1533-position model. The record is from RNAcentral.
UACGGAGGAUGCGAGCGUUAUCCGGAAUCAUUGGGUUUAAAGGGUCUGUAGGCGGGCUGGUAAGUCAGAGGUGAAAGCGCUUAGCUCAACUAGGCAACUGCCUUUGAAACUGCUGGUCUUGAAUGGUUGUGAAGUAGUUGGAAUGUGUAGUGUAGCGGUGAAAUGCUUAGAUAUUACACAGAACACCGAUAGCGAAGGCAUAUUACUAACAAUUAAUUGACGCUGAUGGACGAAAGCGUGGGGAGCGAACAGG